CGAAAAUCAGACAUCAUACAACAAACAAACAAACCACUUUGUUCGAAAAUUGAAUUGCCGAUUUACUUCAAUAAAUAACCAUCAAGUAGUACAAAAACAUUAUCCUUUCUGAAGGACCAAGGAUUCUAGGAGAGCACUGCCUCCAUCCUGUUUUAGCACGGCAAUUAAUAUAAAACCAACAUUCAGUUUCAACAUAACGAGAAGUUAGAAUUCCCAAAUCAUAAAAGUUACCAUUGAAGCAAAUGGUCUUCCUCCAACUCCACUUCUAAGGCACCGCAUUUAGCCGAGCCUCAAACACAAAUCCACGAUAAAGUCCAUCACUAUUCCCUGGGACGCCACUGAUCCACCUCCAUUCCCCUUUCCCACGCUCAUUUUCUUCCCAAAGUGCCAAUCUUCCCACCCUCUUACCCGAAAAACAAACUCUACUCCCUCCACCAAACACCUUAAACUUACUAGAAUCUUGAAAAUACCUAAACAUCUCAGGCGGCAUUCGCCCAGCUUCUUCCCAUUCCAAAGAUUCCAUAUCCAAUCUAAGUAUCAAAAUUGUCGAGCACGUGCUAUGCAACGAAUAGGACGACUUCAAACCACCAAUCAUCAACACCUUAUCAUUUUUACCAGCAAGCAAUCUAGGGCGUUUCAUUAUAUCAAAAAUAUCACCCCAUUCAUGUUUUUCUAAUCUAGUCCAUUGUUGACUAAACUGCAAAUCCUUAACUGUUGACCUAAACAGCUUCCAUUGAGACCUCCACGGGGAUCCAACAUCACAAAGGGCUAAAAUGGUAUCAGAAAUCAAGAUUGGACUCCUAGGCUUUGAUGGUAAAUUUGAUGAGAAUUUCAGCCAAUUAUUGGAAGUUGUCGACCCAGAGAAGUAAAUAGCAGCUAGCUCAGUCAAGACUAGAACUUGAUUAGGUGAACCCACAAGAACCGACCCAUGUUUGCACCAAGCUGAACCCAAUUGAGGAAGCAGCUUAAAUUGACGAGUUAAAGGGUUACACACGAUUAGGGUUUUGCUGUUGUUACCAGGAGGUGAAACAGAAGUGGGUCCUUCAGCCCAGAGAUAGAGAAGACCAUGAGAGGAAGUGAUGGGGUAGUGAGAUCUGAACGGAAGGAAAGAAAGAGGGAAUCGGAACCAGUAGUUAAGCAUGGUGUCGAACACAUGAAGUGCACAAUGAGAAGAUGAAUUGUUGUGUGUAUGAGUAUGGGUACGGUGAGAUGGUCGGAGGGCAAGGAGGGAGAGAGGUGGUUGUUGGGUAUGUGAAG
RNAcentral lists this unclassified non-coding RNA (1257 nucleotides) under Hevea brasiliensis (rubber tree). The record is from RNAcentral. Lineage: Eukaryota; Viridiplantae; Streptophyta; Magnoliopsida; Malpighiales; Euphorbiaceae.